ACUCCUACGGGAGGCAGCAGUGGGGAAUAUUGCACAAUGGGGGAAACCCUGAUGCAGCCAUGCCGCGUGUGUGAAGAAGGCCUUCGGGUUGUAAAGCACUUUCAGUAGGGAGGAAGGUAGUGUAGUUAACACCUGCACUAUUUGACGUUACCUACAGAAGAAGCACCGGCUAACUCCGUGCCAGCAGCCGCGGUAAUACGGAGGGUGCGAGCGUUAAUCGGAAUUACUGGGCGUAAAGCGCAUGCAGGCGGCCUGUUAAGUCAGAUGUGAAAGCCCGGGGCUUAACCUCGGAAUUGCAUUUGAAACUGGCAGGCUAGAGUCUUGUAGAGGGGGGUAGAAUUUCAGGUGUAGCGGUGAAAUGCGUAGAGAUCUGAAGGAAUACCAGUGGCGAAGGCGGCCCCCUGGACAAAGACUGACGCUCAGAUGCGAAAGCGUGGGGAGCAAACAGGAUUAGAUACCCUGGUAGGAAAGCG
Molecule: ribosomal RNA, 473 nt
Filed under: uncultured bacterium
Lineage: Bacteria
Description: bacterial SSU rRNA
Rfam family: Bacterial small subunit ribosomal RNA
Source: RNAcentral